ACUUAUGACCAAAUCACCCAGAGUGUGCUUGAUCUCAUCAGUUCUCAGAAGCUAAGCAGUUUCAGCCUGGAUAGUGCUUGGAGAGGUGACUACCCUGCACUGCAGGUUACAGUG
RNAcentral lists this ribosomal RNA (114 nucleotides) under Petromyzon marinus (sea lamprey). Lineage: Eukaryota; Metazoa; Chordata; Hyperoartia; Petromyzontiformes; Petromyzontidae. The record is from RNAcentral.